UCCGCCAGAGUACUACUAACCACACAUUUGAAACUCAAAGGACUUGACGGUGCCUCAAACCCAACUAGAGGAGCCUGUUCUAUAAUCGAUAAUCCACGAUUUACCUCACCACCCUUAGCCCACAGCCCAUAUACCUCCGUCUUCCGCCUACCCUGUGAAAGUAUAAAAGUAGGCACAAUAGUCAACAAGCACUAACAAGUCAGGGCAAGGGGUAGCCCAUAAGGGGGAAAAAAUGGGCUACAUUUUCUAUAAUAAAAAUAUUCUUACGGAGGGGACUUUGAAACAGGGCCCAAUAAGCAGGAUUUAGCAGUAAUGUAGAAGCAGAGAGCCCACAUUAAUUAGGACCUGAGAGGCGUACACACCGCCCGUCACCCUCAUCAAAAAACAACUAAUUUUAAAUAAACCACUAAACCAACGUAUAAAGAUGAGGCAAGUCGUAACAAG
RNAcentral lists this ribosomal RNA (444 nucleotides) under Mesoclemmys gibba (toadhead turtle). RNAcentral's name for it is "partial 12S ribosomal RNA". It matches the Rfam family "Bacterial small subunit ribosomal RNA", at positions 868 to 1495 of the family's 1533-position model. Lineage: Eukaryota; Metazoa; Chordata; Testudines; Chelidae. The record is from RNAcentral.